GCCUGCGCAAGUUAUUGGCGCCAAGAUGGCGAUGGAGAUGAGGCUUCCUGUCGCUCGCAAGCCUCUUAGCGAGAGCCUGGGGCGCGAGACUAAGAAGCACCUGGUGGUGCCAGGGGACACGAUCACCACGGACACAGGCUUCAUGCGGGGCCAUGGGACCUAUAUGGGGGAAGAGAAGCUCAUUGCGUCUGUGGCUGGCUCGGUGGAGAGAGUAAACAAGCUGAUCUGUGUAAAAGCUUUGAAAACCAGAUAUAAUGGUGAAGUGGGGGACAUUGUAGUGGGGAGAAUCACGGAGGUGCAACAGAAGAGGUGGAAAGUGGAGACCAACUCCCGGCUGGACUCGGUCCUGCUUCUGUCAUCCAUGAACCUUCCCGGAGGAGAGCUGAGGAGAAGAUCGGCAGAGGACGAGCUGGCGAUGAGGGGCUUCUUGCAGGAAGGGGACCUUAUCAGUGCUGAGGUCCAGGCAGUGUUCUCUGACGGGGCCGUCUCUCUGCACACGAGGAGUCUCAAAUACGGAAAACUGGGUCAGGGCGUUUUGGUUCAGGUUUCCCCCUCCCUGGUAAAACGGCAGAAGACUCACUUCCAUGACCUGCCAUGUGGUGCCUCCGUGAUUCUGGGCAACAAUGGCUUCAUCUGGAUCUACCCAACGCCUGAGCACAAAGAGGAGGAGGCAGGGGGCUUCAUUGCAAACCUGGAGCCUGUCUCCCUUGCGGAUCGAGAGGUGAUUUCCCGGCUGCGGAACUGCAUCGUCUCGCUGGUAACCCAGAGGGUGAUGCUGUUUGAUACCAGCAUCCUGUACUGCUACGAGGCAUCCCUUCCACAUCAGCUGUCUUUCUCGUGAAUGUCCCAGUACUGUCUUGGUUCCUGUCCGCUCUAUCCCAGAGAAUCUCGCGGAUGUCCUAAGCUGGAUAUCCUCUGAUAAUGAAAGGAAAGCAGAAGAUCAAAGACAUCUUAAAGCCAGAAGUAAUGGAGGAAAUUGUGAUGGAGACACGCCAGAGGCUUCUGGAACAGGAGGGGUAAGGAGAAGCAGGUGGAGGACAGGACUGAGUGUGCCCGGCCGGAGCAGUCCCUGAAAGCAAAGGCCCCGAUUCAGGGCUGGGGCACUCGUCACUCGACCCACCCUGGGCUGCCUCCCGUGGAAGACCUGCUUUCUCCUGUUUUAAGGCAGAGCCUGGGACGGUGAACAGCAGCUGGCCCCUUGGGUUGCCCACAGAGUCCCAGUACUAGGGGUGGUUUCAGGGCUUUAAAAGCACGAAGUGUUCCAGCCGAGCGGACUUGUUCCUGGAACCAUACAGGACAGCUUUUGUCUCCUGCGCACCAUCACUUCACAAGGCACGCGGCCCCCUUGAAAUUGCCCCGUAAAAACGUGGCCUCCCUGACCCCCAGAUUAUUUCUUCUGGCCCCUGUUCCCCCACCUCCUGCAGCUCAAGUACAACACUGAUGAAUAUAGUCGGUAAAGGAGUCAAAGGGAAGAAUAAAGUAACCAAGCAGGCUUUUGCUCGGUUGGAAUCUUA
This is an RNA transcript of Phacochoerus africanus (Common warthog), 1514 nucleotides long. It is a transcript of the gene named exosome component 2, with no coding region annotated. The transcript has 10 exons. Lineage: Eukaryota; Metazoa; Chordata; Mammalia; Artiodactyla; Suidae. The record is from RefSeq and is a predicted model, not a curated record.